Molecule: long non-coding RNA, 894 nt
Filed under: Marmota monax (woodchuck)
Lineage: Eukaryota; Metazoa; Chordata; Mammalia; Rodentia; Sciuridae
Source: RNAcentral
AACACCAAACAGACAUAACUGGUCUUUGACCUCAUGGAACUUCUUUGACUUAGUCUUUCUUUUAAGGAAUCUGUUGAAGGAAAACAUAAGAAUGCCAUUGGUAUUUCUGAUGUCUAGGGAGUUUUCUUUAUCAUCCACUUUGGUGGUUUGGUUCACUGUAAAUCUGUGGACUACAGAUAUAAUAAUAAAAUAACUCUAAUGACUGGAUUUAAGACAUAAAAAUCAUUAAUUGCAUUAAUUAUUUUAAAAUAAUUUAAUACUUGGGAACACAUGGAGAAACAGCUGGGAAUUUUACAUCAAGUGUGAAUUUAAUCAUUCAUUUAUUUAUAUUUUAUUUUUGUAAAUGAGAGUUGCUUAGUUGCCUUAUCACUUUGACAUCAGUGCUGGGUUUUGCUAAUGUCGGCCUGUCAUCAUCAGUGAAGGUAUGCCAGUAGACAAACUCAAGGGCAAGACUUCCCCAGGUUUCUUGUCAGAGAACUGUUGGUUGUUUACAACGUUGCAGGUGGCUUUGAAAAAUCUCAGAAGCUAAAGAGAGAGAAUGGCAGGAAGAAAAGUAACAGAACUGGAAGGAUGGAAAAUAAGGGAGAAAAAUCUACAGACCUAGGGAAUUAUCUAGAAAAGUGAGGAGGGAGAAAUGAAAGGAAGCUGGGUUUAAAGGAUGAAAAGGCCAAAAUUGUUUUCAUCAUUUUGGGAAAGGAAAUUAUAUUCACAAAUGCUUAGGAAAAGGUGAUAGGAAAUAAAAAAUACAUAUUUAACCUAAUAAAGUUAGCUUUCUGACAUGUGUAAAUCCUUAAGAAAAAUCCUUAGAAAGUAUGAGUGUACGUAGCAUGUAGACAGUGGGAAAUACAAAUAAUUAUUUGUGAAGUAGGAGAUAAUAAUUUAUGUAUUUUAAUU